Molecule: long non-coding RNA, 527 nt
Organism: Neopelma chrysocephalum (saffron-crested tyrant-manakin)
Lineage: Eukaryota; Metazoa; Chordata; Aves; Passeriformes; Pipridae
Exons: 4
Source: RefSeq, a predicted model, not a curated record
GUUUCUCUGGGAUGGAAGUUUACAUUUAUCAAAAUACGACUCACUUCAUGAGAAAGGAAGGUGCAGCAGAGAAAACACAUGAUGAACUCUUCCACAGCCUCUAUUCUCUGUCCCUCUGUGCUGCUCAUGAGGAAGGAGGUAGAGAAAAUCAGGAGCAAAGUUAAGCCUAGGAAUAAGGCAGUGGUGAGGAUCUGUGCAAUUUUUUGUAACCUGGACCAUUAUUAGAGCUUUAUGAAAUUAAGAAGAACAAAGGAAACCAUAAUGCUUUACACAGCAUAAGCCAUGACACUACAGAUCCACCUUUUUAGUAUUUGAACCCAGUACAUAACAACUGAAAACUUAUGAAGACUGAAGACUGGUUGAAAACUGAUACAAAGGCUGAAGCCUACAGUAUCUAUCUGUUUCUUCGCAUGAUUUGAGUAUGUUCCAAGACAUUAGAUUUUCCAGCUUUGGCAUCUUUUGUGUUGGGGUCCAUAAAAUAGGCUGAAGAACUGUAUUUGUUCUCAGCAGUUUUGCUGAACUGGAAC